AUCCCAUGAUGAGGGCACUUAUGAAGUAAUUCCUUGAAUCUUUCCCAUGCUUCAUACAAGGACUCAUCAUCCAAUUGUGAAAAAAUGGUUAUCUCAUUUCACAACUU
This is a non-coding RNA of Gossypium hirsutum (cotton), 107 nucleotides long. The record is from Rfam. Lineage: Eukaryota; Viridiplantae; Streptophyta; Magnoliopsida; Malvales; Malvaceae.